AGCAGCCGCGGUAAUUCCAGCUCCAAUAGCGUAUAUUAAAGUUGUUGCAGUUAAAAAGCUCGUAGUUGAAUUUCGGGAUCAAUACGUCGGUCGUGCUUAGGUACGUACUGGCGUAAUUGAUUUCUCCCUUCUGACGAACCAUGAUGUCAUUAACUUGGUGUCAUGGGAAAUCAGGACUGUUACUUUGAAAAAAAUUAGAGUGUUUAAAGCAGGCUCACGCUUGAAUACAUUAGCAUGGAAUAAUGAAAUAGGACGUUCGAUCCUAUUUUGUUGGUUUUUAGGAUCAACGUAAUGAUUAAUAGGGAUAGUUGGGGGCAUUAGUAUUCAAUUGUCAGAGGUGAAAUUCUUGGAUUUAUUGAAGACUAACUACUGCGAAAGCAUUUGCCAAGGAUGUUUUCAUUAAUCAAGAACGAAAGUUAGGGGAUCGAAGACGAUCAGAUACCGUCGUAGUCUUAACCAUAAACUAUGCCGACUAGGGAUCGGAUGAUGUUAAUUUUUAAUGUACUCAUUCGGCGCCUUA
RNAcentral lists this ribosomal RNA (520 nucleotides) under uncultured Glomus. RNAcentral describes it as "SSU rRNA". It matches the Rfam family "Eukaryotic small subunit ribosomal RNA", at positions 569 to 1090 of the family's 1831-position model. The record is from RNAcentral. Lineage: Eukaryota; Fungi; Glomeromycota; Glomeromycetes; Glomerales; Glomeraceae.